UGGGGAAUAUUGGACAAUGGGCGAAAGCCUGAUCCAGCCAUGCCGCGUGUGUGAAGAAGGUCUUCGGAUUGUAAAGCACUUUAAGUUGGGAGGAAGGGCUGCAAGCUAAUACCUUGUAGUUUUGACGUUACCAACAGAAUAAGCACCGGCUAACUUCGUGCCAGCAGCCGCGGUAAUACGAAGGGUGCAAGCGUUAAUCGGAAUUACUGGGCGUAAAGCGCGCGUAGGUUGUUUGGUAAGAUGGAUGUGAAAUCCCCGGGCUCAACCUGGGAACUGCAUCCAUAACUGCCUGACUAGAGUACGGUAGAGGGUGGUGGAAUUUCCUGUGUAGCGGUGAAAUGCGUAGAUAUAGGAAGGAACACCAGUGGCGAAGGCGACCACCUGGACUGAUACUGACACUGAGGUGCGAAAGCGUGGGGAGCAAACA
Molecule: ribosomal RNA, 427 nt
Filed under: uncultured bacterium
Lineage: Bacteria
Description: bacterial SSU rRNA
Rfam family: Bacterial small subunit ribosomal RNA
Source: RNAcentral